UUUAGCAUCUUAAUAACGGGUUAUAUUGUUCUUUUAUCUAUUUGUCUUUAUUCUAUUAUUUAUAUUGCUUUAAAAUUACUGUUUGUUCUGUUUUCUGGGAUAUUCCUUUGACAUAGCUCGGUACUGAUACAUCCCGUUCAUGUGUUUGUAUUAUCUUUCAUUUUUGCUGGUGUGUUUUGUGCGUGUUUUUUUUUUUUUGUGUUUCUUUAAUACAUAUGACGUGGCUUUACACGUUUAAAGAUCCCGCAAUUAUGUUCUUGUUCUAUUAUAAUUUUGAAAAAUACUUAAACGACAAAAACAUAUGUUGAUUCUUAAAAAUUCUAAAGACUUUCUGAAUAAUUUUAGAUCUCGGUCUUUUUCAGAAAUUAG
This 369-nucleotide long non-coding RNA is filed under the name Mytilus galloprovincialis (Mediterranean mussel). Lineage: Eukaryota; Metazoa; Mollusca; Bivalvia; Mytilida; Mytilidae. The record is from RNAcentral.